GGGUUGUGAGGUUAAGCGACUAAGCGUACACGGUGGAUGCCCUGGCAGUCAGAGGCGAUGAAGGACGUGCUAAUCUGCGAUAAGCGUCGGUAAGGUGAUAUGAACCGUUAUAACCGGCGAUUUCCGAAUGGGGAAACCCAGUGUGUUUCGACACACUAUCAUUAACUGAAUCCAUAGGUUAAUGAGGCGAACCGGGGGAACUGAAACAUCUAAGUACCCCGAGGAAAAGAAAUCAACCGAGAUUCCCCCAGUAGCGGCGAGCGAACGGGGAGGAGCCCAGAGCCUGAAUCAGUGUGUGUGUUAGUGGAAGCGUCUGGAAAGGCGCGCGAUACAGGGUGACAGCCCCGUACACAAAAAUGCACAUGCUGUGAGCUCGAUGAGUAGGGCGGGACACGUGGUAUCCUGUCUGAAUAUGGGGGGACCAUCCUCCAAGGCUAAAUACUCCUGACUGACCGAUAGUGAACCAGUACCGUGAGGGAAAGGCGAAAAGAACCCCGGCGAGGGGAGUGAAAAAGAACCUGAAACCGUGUACGUACAAGCAGUGGGAGCCUCUUUUAUGGGGUGACUGCGUACCUUUUGUAUAAUGGGUCAGCGACUUAUAUUCUGUAGCAAGGUUAACCGAAUAGGGGAGCCGAAGGGAAACCGAGUCUUAACUGGGCGUUAAGUUGCAGGGUAUAGACCCGAAACCCGGUGAUCUAGCCAUGGGCAGGUUGAAGGUUGGGUAACACUAACUGGAGGACCGAACCGACUAAUGUUGAAAAAUUAGCGGAUGACUUGUGGCUGGGGGGUGAAAGGCCAAUCAAACCGGGAGAUAGCUGGUUCUCCCCGAAAGCUAUUUAGGUAGCGCCUCGUGAAUUCAUCUCCGGGGGUAGAGCACUGUUUCGGCAAGGGGGUCAUCCCGACUUACCAACCCGAUGCAAACUGCGAAUACCGGAGAAUGUUAUCACGGGAGACACACGGCGGGUGCUAACGUCCGUCGUGAAGAGGGAAACAACCCAGACCGCCAGCUAAGGUCCCAAAGUCAUGGUUAAGUGGGAAACGAUGUGGGAAGGCCCAGACAGCCAGGAUGUUGGCUUAGAAGCAGCCAUCAUUUAAAGAAAGCGUAAUAGCUCACUGGUCGAGUCGGCCUGCGCGGAAGAUGUAACGGGGCUAAACCAUGCACCGAAGCUGCGGCAGCGACGCUUAUGCGUUGUUGGGUAGGGGAGCGUUCUGUAAGCCUGCGAAGGUGUGCUGUGAGGCAUGCUGGAGGUAUCAGAAGUGCGAAUGCUGACAUAAGUAACGAUAAAGCGGGUGAAAAGCCCGCUCGCCGGAAGACCAAGGGUUCCUGUCCAACGUUAAUCGGGGCAGGGUGAGUCGACCCCUAAGGCGAGGCCGAAAGGCGUAGUCGAUGGGAAACAGGUUAAUAUUCCUGUACUUGGUGUUACUGCGAAGGGGACGGAGAAGGCUAUGUUGGCCGGGCGACGGUUGUCCCGGUUUAAGCGUGUAGGCUGGUUUUCCAGGCAAAUCCGGAAAAUCAAGGCUGAGGCGUGAUGACGAGGCACUACGGUGCUGAAGCAACAAAUGCCCUGCUUCCAGGAAAAGCCUCUAAGCAUCAGGUAACAUCAAAUCGUACCCCAAACCGACACAGGUGGUCAGGUAGAGAAUACCAAGGCGCUUGAGAGAACUCGGGUGAAGGAACUAGGCAAAAUGGUGCCGUAACUUCGGGAGAAGGCACGCUGAUAUGUAGGUGAAGCGACUUGCUCGUGGAGCUGAAAUCAGUCGAAGAUACCAGCUGGCUGCAACUGUUUAUUAAAAACACAGCACUGUGCAAACACGAAAGUGGACGUAUACGGUGUGACGCCUGCCCGGUGCCGGAAGGUUAAUUGAUGGGGUUAGCGGUAACGCGAAGCUCUUGAUCGAAGCCCCGGUAAACGGCGGCCGUAACUAUAACGGUCCUAAGGUAGCGAAAUUCCUUGUCGGGUAAGUUCCGACCUGCACGAAUGGCGUAAUGAUGGCCAGGCUGUCUCCACCCGAGACUCAGUGAAAUUGAACUCGCUGUGAAGAUGCAGUGUACCCGCGGCAAGACGGAAAGACCCCGUGAACCUUUACUAUAGCUUGACACUGAACAUUGAGCCUUGAUGUGUAGGAUAGGUGGGAGGCUUUGAAGUGUGGACGCCAGUCUGCAUGGAGCCGACCUUGAAAUACCACCCUUUAAUGUUUGAUGUUCUAACGUUGGCCCCUGAUCGGGGUUGCGGACAGUGUCUGGUGGGUAGUUUGACUGGGGCGGUCUCCUCCUAAAGAGUAACGGAGGAGCACGAAGGUUGGCUAAUCUGGUCGGACAUCAGGAGGUUAGUGCAAUGGCAUAAGCCAGCUUGACUGCGAGCGUGACGGCGCGAGCAGGUGCGAAAGCAGGUCAUAGUGAUCCGGUGGUUCUGAAUGGAAGGGCCAUCGCUCAACGGAUAAAAGGUACUCCGGGGAUAACAGGCUGAUACCGCCCAAGAGUUCAUAUCGACGGCGGUGUUUGGCACCUCGAUGUCGGCUCAUCACAUCCUGGGGCUGAAGUAGGUCCCAAGGGUAUGGCUGUUCGCCAUUUAAAGUGGUACGCGAGCUGGGUUUAGAACGUCGUGAGACAGUUCGGUCCCUAUCUGCCGUGGGCGCUGGAGAACUGAGGGGGGGCUGCUCCUAGUACGAGAGGACCGGAGUGGACGCAUCACUGGUGUUCGGGUUGUCAUGCCAAUGGCACUGCCCGGUAGCUAAAUGCGGAAGAGAUAAGUGCUGAAAGCAUCUAAGCACGAAACUUGCCCCGAGAUGAGUUCUCCCUGAGACUUUAAGUCUCCUGAAGGAACGUUGAAGACGACGACGUUGAUAGGCCGGGUGUGUAAGCGCAGCGAUGCGUUGAGCUAACCGGUACUAAUGAACCGUGAGGCUUAACCUUACAACGCCGAAGGUGUUU
Molecule: ribosomal RNA, 2932 nt
Filed under: Escherichia coli
Lineage: Bacteria; Pseudomonadati; Pseudomonadota; Gammaproteobacteria; Enterobacterales; Enterobacteriaceae
Description: 23S ribosomal RNA
Rfam family: Bacterial large subunit ribosomal RNA
Source: RNAcentral